ACAGUGCAAUCAGGGAUGGUGAUAUCGCAGGGUUGAAGACAAGAAAGACAGAUGUGUGCCUGCACCCAGUUGCUAGAGCGUGGAGGCAAUGAUGAUGGAACAGAAGGCAAGAGGCUGUCAUUGUUCACAUCACAAGGACCAGAGACACCUUUCCUGGGAAGAGAGCUGACAAACCUUCUGUGGUAAGGGGUGAACAUCCUUGGGAAGCCACAGAGAGCAAGGCGCAGUUUUUCAUUGAUCACCACCUUCAAGAUGCUCCCAGAAUCGUGCUGUCUAGGAAGCCAUUUAAACUGGUGAGAAGCCAUCCUCUCUUGAAUGGAGGCUCCCACUGUACAUCUGGCACCCACUUCACAGAUCCAUGAACUAGAAGAUGCUUUCUUAUAACUCAGAGAAAAGAGAUGAAAAUGAAUCAAAGAACAGGAAGGAGACAAGCUCAGGAGUGUGAAAACGGAUUAAUACGGAUUCCAUUAGCAGAAGCAGUUUUGGUGGGAAAAAGAUGAAGGGUGAAGAGGACUUUUACCUUAAAACAAUGAAGAGUCACCCUAAGAAGGACGUGUGGAAGACUUGACUGAUUGGAGGAUCAAAAUGUGUCGGGGGAAGGUGUACAAGGAGGAGUAAGGACACAGAUGUCCUGACUUCACACAGUGGGGGAUUAGAAGCCACCAUCAAACACAGAUGAAACAGGAAUAAAAGUAGUAGUACAUUACUUAAGCUUUAAAAGGGUAAGACUCCUGGGAAUUUGGAAGCUGAGAUUUGAGG
Molecule: long non-coding RNA, 759 nt
Organism: Gorilla gorilla gorilla (western lowland gorilla)
Lineage: Eukaryota; Metazoa; Chordata; Mammalia; Primates; Hominidae
Exons: 6
Source: RefSeq, a predicted model, not a curated record